GAUGUCGGCUCUUCCUA
RNAcentral lists this non-coding RNA (17 nucleotides) under Mus musculus (house mouse). The record is from RNAcentral. Lineage: Eukaryota; Metazoa; Chordata; Mammalia; Rodentia; Muridae.